This 253-nucleotide ribosomal RNA is filed under the name uncultured bacterium. RNAcentral's name for it is "partial 16S ribosomal RNA". It matches the Rfam family "Bacterial small subunit ribosomal RNA", at positions 524 to 776 of the family's 1533-position model. The record is from RNAcentral.
UACGUAGGUGGCAAGCGUUGUCCGGAAUUAUUGGGCGUAAAGCGCGCGCAGGUGGUUUCUUAAGUCUGAUGUGAAAGCCCACGGCUCAACCGUGGAGGGUCAUUGGAAACUGGGGAACUUGAGUGCAGAAGAGGAAAGUGGAAUUCCAAGUGUAGCGGUGAAAUGCGUAGAUAUCUGGAGGAACACCGGUGGCGAAGGCGGCAUCCUGGACCAACACUGACGCUGAGGAGCGAAAGCCAGGGGAGCAAACGGG